UUCUUCAAACAUGUUAUUAUACAGUUUAAAUAAAGUCACGAAAAAGCAGAGUCUUGUUCAUUAUUUAAUACGUAAAACAAAUUCAUCAAAUUAUAUAAGUACAAAACGAGAUGAUAAAGGCAUGGUGAAAAAAAACAAUGUUACCACACACACCGGAUAGAGCUUAAAUCUAGUUAAAUUUCGAUGGCAGUGUUGCACAUUUCCAACACUCCCUUACAACACAACAAUCGAAAGUUCAGGAAUACGUAAUUCUAAAAAAUAAAAUCAAAAAAUAGCACCUAGUAAUAAAUAAACUAGAACAAAAUCACAAAGUAAGCAAAUUUGGAUAGACAAACACAUGUCAUGAAGCACUUUAAUUCUAAAAAGAGUAGAUAAUAUGUUUAAAAAUACAAAGAACACAAGAAAUUGACAACUUUAACAAACACAUGUUUUCUUUUCUUCCUUUUACCUUACAAUUUUUUCGAGGUUGAUACUUUUAAGUUCUGUAAGUUCGUUGUCAUUUGCCUGAUAGCUAAAUUUAACCGGAAAUGCCAUUCUGAAUAAUUCUGGGUACCUUGUAGUUGUUUGGAGAUGCCAGAUGCCAUUCCAUUUGAGAUGCUGUUCAAGGUUGAUCAAGAUUGAGUUCUGAUUCUGGUUGUGUGAGUCCAUAGUGACAAAGUUCGGAGAUUGAGGUCUGUUUGUUCUGUUUGAGAUCCAAUGAUCGAGUUCUAGUUCUUGUUCAAAGUCCAAGGAGUUCGAGGCCAAAUAUGCCGAGUUCAGAGAGUGCGAGGCCAAAUAUGCCGAGUGUGAGGCCAUAGAUGCCGAGUUCAAAGAGUGCGAGGCCAAAAUUGCCGAGUUCAAGGAGUGCGAGGCCAAAAUUGCCGAGGCCAAAAAUGCCAAUAGUACAGAGUACAUUACUUGAAGAAUACCAUAGUUCGAGUUCGAUUUCUGUUCGCGCACAGUUAGGCAAGGGACUGGGCCCAUAACCUGUUAUUAUACAGUUUAAAUAAAGUCACGAAAAAGCAGAGUCUUGUUCAUUAUUUAAUACGUAAAACAAAUUCAUCAAAUUAUAUAAGUACAAAACGAGAUGAUAAAGGCAUGGUGAAAAAAAACAAUGUUACCACACACACCGGAUAGAGCUUAAAUCUAGUUAAAUUUCGAUGGCAGUGUUGCACAUUUCCAA
This is a long non-coding RNA of Planococcus citri (citrus mealybug), 1162 nucleotides long. RefSeq lists it as uncharacterized. The transcript has 2 exons. The record is from RefSeq and is a predicted model, not a curated record. Lineage: Eukaryota; Metazoa; Arthropoda; Insecta; Hemiptera; Pseudococcidae.